Felis catus (domestic cat) is the source of this 6772-nucleotide long non-coding RNA. RefSeq lists it as uncharacterized. The transcript has 16 exons. The record is from RefSeq and is a predicted model, not a curated record. Lineage: Eukaryota; Metazoa; Chordata; Mammalia; Carnivora; Felidae.
AGCCGGAGCCCUUUCAAAGGGGCAACCUUGAGAGAGCAACCAGUGAGACGGUAUGGGUGGUACACGUGACUGAGCCGUGCUAAGGCCUCUUCCUAAACUUUAGGAUUCUGGCGGGUGAGUGCGGAGAUUUACUGCCCCUGUGGCCAAGGAACACAAGCCUCCUAAGAACAUUCAGUGCUCCUGGUGCUGGGAUUAUGAAGGCAAAGGAGAUACACUCCUGCCAUCCGUUUGCAUACUCCAGUCAAGAGAGGAAAAUGGGUUCAUAAAGAGAUGAUGAGAAUCAUAUGCAUUAAGCAUGAAACCAAAGGAAACAUUUUAAAAUAUCAGACAUACUCUAGGAAGUUCAUUCACAUCACUUGGAGUCGUCUUGCCUCCUCUGUGUUGCUGAGACAAACAUUGCUCUACACUAUCUGCACCCAUGCAUCCAAGUAUAUCUUCUCUGGUGCUUAGAAGAAACAUCAAUGUGUCACAUUUCUUCAGGCUCUACUGUGAAAGCCAUAUUCUUACCACUGAAGCAAAUCAAUUAAAUUUGUUUUCAUUCAUCAAAAGAGAAGGUGACUUAUUCUGGGUUGCUAGAGUUCUCCGAAGACAGUCUUCUCUUCUUUGGGUUCGUUGAAAUACUUCUCAACUUUCAAUGUGCAUAUGAAUUAUCUGAUGUCUUUUUCAAAAUGCAGAUUCUGAUCCAUUAGAUCUGGGGUGCAGCCCAAGAUUCUGCAUUUGUAACAAGCUGCAGUCCCCUGGCCGCACUUUGAAGAGCAAGGAUCUAAGAGGAACUCAUUGAAGUGUAUGCUUGAAGAUAGCCUUGCCCACUCCUGAGUGGAAGAUCAUGGGGAGCCCAGGAUUGUUCAGAUUUCAGUUAGAAAACUGUCUACUGUAGCAUGUGUCCUGCUUAUUUCCAUUAAUGAGUACUGAACCUCAUUAUUGAUCUAACCAGCCUUGAAAGGUCAGACUUCAUCCCUGAAUGAAAGGCUUCAGCACAUCCUGAACCCUGAGCCACAACUGCAGGAAAACCACCCAGCAAAGGGGAUUAAUUUCACCCCUUUCUGUAUUGACUCUGUUUGGGGAGUUAGUAUUUUUGGCCCUGAGCCAGCUGAUCUCAUCCACAAAUUAAGCUGACAGUUCCUUCCAACAAUAAAGGCUGUCUUGGAGCCAGGGAAACAUUGAUUUAAUUGGUCUCAAACAAUUUCAGUAGUCACAAUUUCACAGAUUCCUAAGGGAGAGCCUCACCCUCCUGCAGGGGUGCUGGACCCUUUUUCUUCUUUCUUCUCCAUCUUCAUUGAUGCUGCUGGCCAGCGGAUUGGAAUUGCUGCACAAGAGAGGAGGGUUAAGGUGGACACUGAUUAAGAUUCUCAAUCUACUGUGGUGAUGCUAUUACUUUGAAUCCUCGUAAAAGGAGAAGACCGAGACCCGGCUCAUGAAGUGGUAUUGAUUUUCUGAGUUCCUGCUCGAGUUGCCAAAGAUACAACACUGUUGUUAAGGAGAGGAGAUGCCUUGGCCUUCAAUAUCACAGGAGGGUUCCUCGGACUUACCAAUUUGGGCUUCUUCCAGCGCUAAAAACCGAUUACAAAUAUGAAACAGAUUUUACUACUGGACUUGAAUACCAUAUUAAAAACAAGAAGAUCGUCAAAAUAAUUGAAAAAGAUCCUUACCAAAGAAUAGAUGCAAUGUGAAUGGCAAGAUAUCGAGGAGGUUUUGGUAUUUGGUCUGACACAUAACAGACCCUGAAAUGUUGGUGGAGUGAAUGAGGAAUCUCUCACGCUGCAUCCUGGGAACUAUACUUAGACAGCAAUGCAAUGUGUGUGAGCCCUGGAAUCCUGCUCCAUAUGGAAAUUUCAGAAUUUGUUGAUUGUGGACAAUAAACAGAGUCCUCCAGCUUUGUGCUUUUAUCCUGGUGGUGGCCCUCAAGAAUAAGCCAAGCGUCCGGUUUCAUCUCAGUGCAUUUUCGUCUUUAAGAACAUAGAGAAGCAUACUGUUUUAAGAUCCUGAAUGCUGAGAGGAAGGCCUCUUCCUUCUUCGCCAUGUCCUGAACUCCGUUUGCCACCUCCUGCUAUUCCUGGACAUGAGGAAUCUGGAAGAAUACGCCGUAUCUGGAACGCCAAGCAAGCCCUUAACAAAUAUGUGUUGAAGCCCUUUGAAUGAACUCCAAGUGCCUUUCCAAGAAAAAAAAAAAAAAAGAAGAAGAAGGCACUUUCAACAAGUGGACACACUGCUUCAAUCAGUAGAUUUUUGCUUUUCUCUUUCCUGGAACGAUUGCUGUUUUUUUGCUUCCUUGCCAUUUCAACAUGUUCCUUGAGAUUGUGGUAAGGUAGUGAGCUCUGAGCACGUGACAAGCAUUAGAAGCAUUCAAAUGGAGAUGCAUCUUCCAGAUAAACAGGAGCCCAGGAGCUGAUCUCCAUGCAGAAGAUGAUGAGUUGAGAUCCUGCCCAGGAAUAAGUGUCGGACCAGCUGCCUGGAGUCCGACGUUAGCCGGAGCGAGCCUAAUUACUGGUAGGCAAGAGGGCCCGAUGCAACAACGUGCUACACACACGGCCUUCCUCUCUGCUCUCAUUCGCUUCUGGUUUCAGAGGAGCCUGGAAUUUUGUUGGAGGCAAACAAUUGCGUUCCCUCUGCUCGAUAUGCUAGGAUGAAAUAUGAUUGCAUUUCCCCCAGGGAACCUCCAGUUGAAAAGGGCCAGUCUGGAAAAGAGUGCGCCAGUGAUCAAAGUGGCCACAUAUGAUGGUCCCAGACUGAUGCCUGUGUUCCCACUGAAGGAGACUUUCUUCCCGGGAUGAGAUCCAGCCUCCACUCUAAAGUUCUUAGCACGCCAGGGUGAAGAAGUUCUGGAAGUGUUCUGUGAAGUUGCAUCUUGAAGAAUGAGGAAUGCAGAGGGGCCUCUCAGACCACAGAGGAUGGCAGUGCUGGGAAUGACGUCUGGAACUGGUCAUUGGCACCCGAGGGUGGAGAGGGCUGGAAUCCACGCCACCAUUCCCUUCUUUGUGCAUGUUGAGACCUCCUGUGACUUCAGAAUCUUUGUCAGCAUAGUGUUACAAGAAGCAGUUAAUUGAGGUUGGCCAGAGCAACAAUGCUUCUUUGGCACUCUUGGUAUUUAUCGUAGGAGAGUAUGGUAAAUAGUGCUGGAAGUAGAAUGUGCCACUUUCUGGAUUAUUUUCUUCUAGUUGAUGAGUAGGAUCUCUUCCAAACCUUGGGAAAGACUUGUGCUUUAUAGAUAUUUUUUUUCUUCCUAAUUAUAUUCCACUACCAGCUUUUCAGCCUGUUUACAUGGGUAUGUAAAAAUACAGAACUAGCUUUCAUUUAAAGCUAGAAAAAAAAAACAAAAAGAAAAACAUAAAAGUAAAAUACGUACUAUAGGAUCUUCAGAGCUCCUGCCAGUGCACCUCAAACCUGGAUUUCAGUUUUUUAGCUCUCUACAAAGAAUGGCCUUCACAAGUCCGUCCAAUGACUGCAACAACAAAGACAGGGCCCCACAAUACUUGAGGUCAUCGAGGGGCAUCGUGGCACAUUUGGGGCCACCUUAACUUCGUCUCUGUGCUCAGACUGUCCUUGAGUAAUCACUGAACUCCCUUUCCGUCCCGUGGGAAAUGACACCUUAACGCCUUCUUUCCAAAUAGGAAGCCUCCACCAUUCAUGGAAGCGAUAUCAAUUCUACUCAAGGUAAAUUCUAUAAUUUUUCAAGAGUCUUUUGUUUAAUAUGGAAACUUCAAGCAGAGGACCCAGGGCAUUUUCUUUCAUCAACGUGAUUCUAAUUUUAUCAGAGCACUAAAAAGAAAUCUACUUGGCUUUUUCUUGUCCAGUACUCCACUUGCUCUGAAGCACAUUCAAAAGCCACCUCUCUGAUCUGAAGACAUCUCCGCAGAAUUAUGUAAUUGGACCAACGGUUGCCGGUUCCCCGCACUCUUGCUACUUCGCAUUAUUGCAGAGCAGACUACUGUUUUGCAGACCUUCCUUAUUGCGUAAAUGGCUACAUUAUCACUGUGUACACAUUAGGACAAGCAAAUGGGCCCCUUAAGGCAAAUAAGGGUUCAAAUAACCCAGACAAGGUAGCCCAACUGAAUUGAGGAUUCACCCUUGUUACAACCUCAUUGCUUUAUGGCACAUGAACUAGUGGAAGGGACAGACUGCUUCAAGUGUGUUUCUACUGAUCCUGCUGGCAAAUCACAGCUUUAUUACAGUAAUGAGCCUGACCAUAUUUCUGUGCUUAUGCAUAUUAGGCACCAAAUGUAUUUUCCGGCCUGCCAGCCUGUGGUAGUAACUAACACGAGCAAUUUGUCCUGGGUUACAGUGUGUGUGCAUGCAUUAGGUAUGAGCAUGUUAGUUGCUUUGGGGUAUAAAUACUACAUGUUUCAUCAUGCGUAUUUUUAUAUGCACAACUUAACUGUAUGCAAAAUAGCUUGGCAAUUAACCAACACAACUUAUUAGUUUACUACAAGAUUAUUGCAUAAAUAUGUGAACUGGGGACAGCCACAAUUUCAAUUUGGCAAUAUUAAAAAUUUUGUUGGAUUAUUAAAUAUCUGAAGAAAUAUCUCCCCCCUCUAUGGUAUAAGUGUUAAGGUUCUUUAAAAAAAAAUAUUUUGAUUCUUCUCCCAUUUUCAUUUCCAUAAAUAACCCUGAGCGGGACCCUUUUCGGCAGGCUGUGGGAUUUGAGCCGGUGAAUUCCCCCAUACUCAUUGUGAGCUGACAUUUGGCCUUUGACCCCGUCAGCUUUCAGGCGAAGGUGAAUGGUCAUUAUUGCGAUUUCUUCCUCAGGAUCACAUUUUAUGUAUGCCAGUUAUUGGGUCCAGGGUUAUUAAAAAGGAACAUCAGCAUACUUCAGCUCAACCGCUAAGAACAGUGUAUAUGUUUCCUCUUUCUGUUGACCACUGGGAUCGUAGAGCUCAGUGCUGUUGGCUUGUGUGACUGCCUUGGAGGCGUACAGGACUUACUCCAAAAGCGCAGACCCACGGAACCACCUCUCCCUGAACUCUUAAUUAAAAUGAACUCUUUCUCCCGCUUCGCUGCAAAACAAAGAAACGAACAAAACAUUAAGUACGGAAUACAGGAUUGGUACAAAAUAAAGGGUUAGCUUGGUGGGAGGCUGCUGCCAAGGGAAUGGCUGCUCUUGCUACUUCCGCACGUGUCACAUGUCGUAAGGUGUCAGAGAAUUACUUUUUUCCUCCAUUCAGGUUGGAUUUAUGUAAAUGACUGCACAGGACAGGUGCCUUUAUUUAGUUGCUACUAAAGCCGGAAUCAUGUUGUACAAGAGCUGAUAACAUGAAAUAACACGAAAUAAGUGGGCUUAUCCCGUCUGAAGCUUGUUUUACAGUACUGGUAUUUCUCUUUAGCAAAUCCUGCUGCGUUUUUAAGUAAUACGAUAAAACAACAUAAAUGUCUUUGUGGCUAAAACUGAUUGUUUCAGGAGGAGCAUGGCUGUUUUAUUCUUGUCUUUUAUCUCCUCUACACUGAAUUUUUGAAAACAAGACCAGCUCCCUGGCCUGUGUGUAUAUAAAUAGGCUAUUUGCGUAGAGACCCCACAAUUAUUCAUGCAUCAAAGAGAGGGAGAAUGGGAGGGAACCCCAUGCUGAUAAUAGCAGCACCCCAAAUCAAUAUAAAACCAAGACCGAAAUGUGCCUUUUGCAGUCCUGUCACAGAUUAAUAUGGUUCAUGAUAGAUACUUAGUUCUCUGACAGUUUCCCCUGCACCUUCGCUGGGAAGUUGAUAGAAAUUACUCCAGCUGAAUGCUUAAAGCAGAUGUUAUCCCAUUAAUUAGCUCUGGACCCGGGUACACUCGAGACUUUCCCAUUUUCAGGCCGAAAGGAAUUGGUCCCAGUGAGCGUGCUCUAUAUCCACAUUUAGUAUCAUCUCAUAAACAGCAGUGAAAACACAGCAGGCCCUUGAUGAAGAUACAUUAGCUUAUUUCUAAUUUAAAGUUAUGUUGCUUAACCUUAAUGUAAUUGGUCACCGGUGGCCAACUGUUUGUAUAGUGUGUUGAUGACCAAAGAGAUGUAAUAAAUUAUAAAACUCCCUGCUUAAAUGGAGGGAACGACUGUUUUGUUAAAAGCUUUGCAUGUAAUAAUGGUAAAAUAAUUACACCUCAAGCCGAAUAACUGUGAAGCUGUUAAUACUAACAACAGAGUUGUUCUCAGGAUAGCUCGGUUCAUCCCCAUUUAAAACCAGUACAUGAACCUGGCUCUUGUAUUUAGCAAAAGAGUAACUUUGAAAGUUCAAUCUCACCCUGAUUAAAAUAAAUGGGUAAGUCGUCCUGUUAUCUUAGUUGGGAAUGAUGGUGAUGGGUAGUAGGGUGGUGGGGUGAAUUAAAAUAACCAAUUGCUAUGGUUAACUAGGAGACAAAAAGCACAAACCGGUUCGUAGUCACUGCCAGACACGUCUUUAAAGAAGACUUGAUUAGCUGGUGGAAAAACUGGGAUAAUCAUCAAAUAUGAAAGUAAUUGACACAACUUUAAUGUUUAAUAAUGAAUAGCCCGCCAGAGGCAAAAUAAAGGGAAACGGUCUUCUUUUCUCCGAACAAGUUCUGACUUAAAAUUUCUUAGGCCAAAUACAGAGAGCGAUUGCUCGAGGUUUGUGAACUACAAUUCCAAGAUUAUAAUUAAAGUUAUAAAUAUGGUUAAAAUGAAAUCACACGAUUAACAAUAUUCAAUCUAUCAGGGGUAAUGAUAUUCAUUCCAUAGGUGUUCUGUAUGUCACUGUGAAAACUCUAGUCCCCCCUCUCCCUGUUAAAGGCUUGUGACUUAUUUUGAAAUGCAAAAGUGAAAUAAACAGAGUCGUGCUUCUGUCUGGA